CUCUCUCUCCUCUCUGCCUCUCUCGCUUUCUUUCUCUCUCUCCCUCUCUGUUUUCGUCGGCGUGUGUGUAAGUGCAGGUGUGCGCGUUUCUUUCUCAUCCCGUCUACCCCCCUCGCCUCUCCUCUCCCUCUCGUCCGCUGUCUAUCUCUGCCUCGGCCUCCCUCGUCGCCGUGAGGAUGGCAGGCUUGUUCGCCGGCGAAUAAAAUCGGCGAUGAGCGAUAUCGCGCGGGGGUGGUGAUAAUCGCGGAAGAAAGGGGGCGAGAGAAUAGAUGCGAGGUACCGAGGGCGCGCUUUUCGCGCAUUCGCGCGGUGCGAAUUAAUGAAAUCGGAGUAAUGAGGUCGAAGAGGACGGAGGUCCGAGUCCGAGAGCGGCAAUGAAGGGAGUUCCGAGGAGAGGCGGAGGAUUCACUAGUGAGUAAGAUUUAGAGUGGGAACGAUAUUUGAAAGUAAGGGAGUACGCGCGGAUAAGUAGGACGGGAAGAAAGAUGAUCUCUGGAAGAAGAUGGAGACAGAGAGAACGAGAGAGAGAGAGAGAGAGAGAGAGAGAACAUCGCCAAUCCGAAAGUUCGGAAUAGGUGAAAAGAUAUGUGUGUAACAGUUUGUGUUUUCUCCCAGAUAUGUGUAAAGCGGGGUGCGAGUAUCUUGUAAAGUGUGAUGUGAAUAAUCCGGUUCCGUAAAAAAAAGAUUACGAGAAAUUGAAGGGGAGCGACGUCUUCUUGCACGAAAAUCGUGAGAAUCGCAGAUAUCACCGAGAAGAGAGUAAAGUGACGAAGAAUAAAGAGCAAAGAGAAGAGGUUGGAGGCUACCCCGUUCGUUCGCGUGAUCAAGAAGACAUCCACGACAAGACACUUGAGCUUGCGAGUUUGACGAACAGUAAUGGUCGAAAAAGACAAAAAUCUAAGGAGGCGAGAACAAGAAAAGAAUUUCGGUUUAGUUGGACGAUAAAACGAUAAAAAGUGUCUUCAAUGAAGAGAUCAUCGCAACUCACCUGAUUCUUUCUCUUGUUUUCUUCCUGCUGCGGAAGUAAGCGU
This 1031-nucleotide unclassified non-coding RNA is filed under the name Ooceraea biroi (clonal raider ant). RNAcentral describes it as "uncharacterized LOC105278386, transcript variant X2". The record is from RNAcentral. Lineage: Eukaryota; Metazoa; Arthropoda; Insecta; Hymenoptera; Formicidae.